GCAAUCUAUACAAAAAUAGGUUACAAGCCACUGUUAUAACUUUUGAGAAAGAUGGACACUGCUCCAUCAGGCAACAACAACAUACUCAUUGUAAUCUCACAAGUAGUUGUACGUAGACCUUACCCCUACCUUGUGUGAUGUAUAGAUGUGGUUUCCCACAGACCCUCGGCUAAAGAAUAAGUUUUUCAAAAAUAAGUUUUACAAAUACAAGAGUAAAAGUGUGCCCAAAUGAUUCUAAUGCGGUAUUCCAGCUAUGAUUAUUUCCCACCAUUGCAUCAGUGGAACAUUCGACAGCUUAUUGCUUAUCAUAUUCACUUUUGCUGUUUCCAAAUUCAAACGGAGUUAACUCUGGGGCAGAUACGAGCUCGUAAUGGGUUCUUCAUAACUACGGUGAAUUCUAGAAUCUCUGUGAGAUCAACAUCAUCUCCUUCCACAGGCUUCCAUUGAAAAUGCCAAAUCAAAUUAGCCACAAAGAAUUCCAAGUGAAGCAUAGCCAAUGCAUAGGCAGGACAUAUUCUCCUCCCUGCGCCGAAUGGCAUCAUCUUGAUCUCUUUACUUCCUGUUAUAUCGAAAUCAACUACUUUAUCGGAUCCUUCCACUAAGAACCUCUCUGGCCUAAACUCCAUUGGAUCCUCCCAUACAUUUUGGUCUAAACCCAUCUCCCCAACCAUGAAAUUGAUGGUGGCAUUCUUUGGAAUGACGUACCCGUUCAGUUCUACUUCCUCUGUCACUGUGUGUGGCAGCACAAAGUGACCGGGUGGGUUACGCCUAACACCUUCUAAUAUCACUGCUUUCAAGUAGGGUAUUUUCUGCAAAUCUUCCUCCUUCACCACCUCUUCAUCUGUACUCAACUUGCUCUGUUUUUCUCCCAUUACACUAGCAAUUUGUCGGUAUAGCUUCUCCUGAAUGGAAGGGCUUUUGACCAAGUUGGACAUAAUCCACUGUAAGGCAGUGGACGUCGUAUCAGUUCCAGCGCUAAGGAAUUCACUGCAGAGGGCUACAAUUUCUCCAACAUUGAGGUUCCUUUUUUCCUCUGGCAAUUCCAAAUUCAACAGCGUAUCCACAUAAGCCACUACUAACUCGUCGGCGGGUUCGGUCUUUUCUUCUUUGGCCCUGCGUCGAGCUUCAAUCAAAGGAAUGAGGAUAUUCCUUUGCUCUCGUUGUACUUCAAUGAGUUUCUUCCAGCGAUUUCUAAACAUUAUUUUUCCAACUCCGGGAAAGAAUUUUAGUACAUCUCUGUAUCGUCGGAAACCCAGGACCAAGUUAUUUUGCAUAUUUUGAAUUUGCUUGAUUUGAGUUUCCUCAAGUUUAUCCCCAAAACACAUCAAUACAAGAAGACAGAACAUAGCAUACUGAAAAUGAUCAAUUAACUUCACGGAAUCGACUUGGGCGUGACGGAUCUGUUGAAGGAGGAUACCCAGCACCCACGAUCUGGCCUUGGAAUAGGACUUGAAGCGAGAAUGAUGGAGUAUUUCUGAAGUCAAGUUUCGACGGAGAAGACGCCAUAUUGAGCCGUAAGGGGCAGAGCUGAUGACGCACUGGUUACUAGAUUCAGCCGUUGGCCGGUCGGAGAAAAUAGAGCCUUGCCGGACUAAAGCUUGGUAGGCUAAAGAGUGACUACCUAUGUAUAUAGUAGGUCGAGACCCAAUAUUGAGAGUUAUGAGAGGACCAUACUUAGCCUUGAGUACACGGAGUUUGGGUUCCAAUUUGGCGUUGGACCAUAAUAAGCUUCCGAUCACCGGAAAAAUGUAGGGUCCCGGUGGGAGUUUUUUCUUGGAUUUGGAGUUAGCAGAGAUGAAAAAUACAAAAGAUUUGAGCAAAAAAGAUAUGCAGAGAGAAAAGAGUAGUAUGAAUAUCCAGUUCUCCAUUACUCUGUUUCAAUACAA
RNAcentral lists this unclassified non-coding RNA (1886 nucleotides) under Hevea brasiliensis (rubber tree). Lineage: Eukaryota; Viridiplantae; Streptophyta; Magnoliopsida; Malpighiales; Euphorbiaceae. The record is from RNAcentral.